GCCUCCUUAGCUCAGUGGUAGAGCACUUCCAUGGUAAGGAAGGGGUCCCGGGUUCGAGUCCCGGAGGAGGCU
Molecule: transfer RNA, 72 nt
Filed under: Rubrivirga sp.
Lineage: Bacteria; Pseudomonadati; Rhodothermota; Rhodothermia; Rhodothermales; Rubricoccaceae
Also listed under: 3 other names
Description: tRNA-Thr
Rfam family: tRNA
About the family: Transfer RNA (tRNA) molecules are approximately 80 nucleotides in length. Their secondary structure includes four short double-helical elements and three loops (D, anti-codon, and T loops).
Source: RNAcentral